This 460-nucleotide ribosomal RNA is filed under the name uncultured bacterium. Its description in RNAcentral is "partial 16S ribosomal RNA". It matches the Rfam family "Bacterial small subunit ribosomal RNA", at positions 338 to 795 of the family's 1533-position model. The record is from RNAcentral.
CCUACGGGUGGCAGCAGUGAGGAAUAUUGGUCAAUGGGCGGGAGCCUGAACCAGCCAAGUCGCGUGAGGGAAGACGGUCCUAUGGAUUGUAAACCUCUUUAGGCGGGGAGCAAUGCCGGGCACGCGUGCCCGGAGGGAGAGUACCCGCAGAAUAAGCAUCGGCUAACUCCGUGCCAGCAGCCGCGGUAAUACGGAGGAUGCGAGCGUUAUCCGGAUUUAUGGGGUUUGAAGGGUGCGGAGGCGGAGUUUUAAGUCAGCGGUAAAAUUUCUGGGCUCAACCCGGGCCGGCCGUUGAAACUGGGGAUCUUGAGUGGGCGAGAAGUAUGCGGAAUGCGUGGUGUAGCGGUGAAAUGCAUAGAUAUCACGCAGAACUCCGAUUGCGAAGGCAGCAUACCGGCGCCCGACUGACGCUGAGGCACGAAAGCGUGGGGAUCGAACAGGAUUAGAUACCCUUGUAGUC